UACGGGAGGCAGUAGUGGGGAAUAUUGCACAAUGGGCGCAAGCCUGAUGCAGCCAUGCCGCGUGUAUGAAAAAGGCCUUCGGGUUGUAAAGUACUUUCAGUCGUGAGGAAGGUGUUAAGGUUAAUAACCUUAGCAAUUGACGUUAGCGACAGAAGAAGCACCGGCUAACUCCGUGCCAGCAGCCGCGGGUAAUACGGAGGGUGCGAGCGUUAAUCGGAAUUACUGGGCGUAAAGGGCACGCAGGCGGUUAAUUAAGUUGGAUGUGAAAUCCCCGGGCUUAACCUGGGAAUGGCAUUCAAGACUGGUUAGCUAGAGUCUUGUAGAGGGGGUAGAAUUCCAUGUGUAGCGGUGAAAUGCGUAGAGAUGUGGAGGAAUACCGGUGGCGAAGGCGGCCCCUGGACAAAGACUGACGCUCAUGUGCGAAAGCGUGGGGAGCAAACAGGGAUUAGAUACC
Molecule: ribosomal RNA, 454 nt
Filed under: uncultured bacterium
Lineage: Bacteria
Description: bacterial SSU rRNA
Rfam family: Bacterial small subunit ribosomal RNA
Source: RNAcentral